UACGGAGGGUGCAAACGUUGCUCGGAAUCAUUGGGCGUAAAGCGCACGUAGGCGGCCUGUUAAGUCGGGUGUGAAAGCCCUGGGCUCAACCCAGGAAGUGCAUUCGAAACUGGCGGGCUUGAAUAUGGAAGAGGGUCGCGGAAUUCCCGGUGUAGAGGUGAAAUGCGCAGAUAUCAGGAGGAACACCGAUGGCGAAGGCAGGUCUCUGGGCCGAUACUGACGCUGAGGAGCGAAAGCGUGGGGAGCGAACAGG
RNAcentral lists this ribosomal RNA (253 nucleotides) under uncultured bacterium. RNAcentral describes it as "partial 16S ribosomal RNA". It matches the Rfam family "Bacterial small subunit ribosomal RNA", at positions 524 to 776 of the family's 1533-position model. The record is from RNAcentral.